Musca domestica (house fly) is the source of this 266-nucleotide long non-coding RNA. RefSeq lists it as uncharacterized. The transcript has 2 exons. Lineage: Eukaryota; Metazoa; Arthropoda; Insecta; Diptera; Muscidae. The record is from RefSeq and is a predicted model, not a curated record.
GUCUGGUCGUGAUAGGCCUCGAGCAUAUUCUCGUAAAACUUCUACAAUGUUUCAGGCAAACAUUAUGGAUUUGUCGAUGAAAGGACAUUAGUGAAAGCAGACAAGUUAAAAAGCGGUAAGUUCGGCCGGGCCGAACAUUGAAUACCCUCCACCAUUUGAAACGAAUUUGGAAGUUUUAAAAAAUAAAAUGCUUUAAAAAUUCUGUUUAAAUCUUAAAAAUACCGAAUAAAUCCAUUACAUUGGGGUCUUUACGACGUGAACCUAUA